GACCCCAAAAUUGUCAGCCUAGAAAAUAAUUCUUACCUUUGAAACUAAAACAAAAGAUAUAUAAAAAAAGGCAUUACAAAAGUGGCCCCAAAACCUAAUUUAAUUUUUUUAUAUAUAUAUGCUUUGUAAAGUCAAAUGCUAGUUUUAAUGGGCACAUUUGUAUAAGAGAGGAGGAACUUUACAUUAGCCGUAAGCUUUUUUUUUUUACAAAUUUUGAAUAUCAUCGGACAAUUGACAAAUCUCACAUCUCAAGUCUUAAGACAUCGUUUUUUUAAGCACUAUAUAUAAUCCAUCUUAACGCACACAAAUCAAAAGUAAUAAUCUAAUAAAUACCAAAUAAAAAGGUGACGAAAUUACAAAACAAAUAUUUGAAGAGUGGCGGUGUAACAGUACGCAGAAAUCCAAGCUGGUUAGUGUAAG
RNAcentral lists this long non-coding RNA (420 nucleotides) under Capsella rubella. RNAcentral describes it as "long non-coding RNA (CRUB_LNC001195)". The record is from RNAcentral. Lineage: Eukaryota; Viridiplantae; Streptophyta; Magnoliopsida; Brassicales; Brassicaceae.